This 254-nucleotide ribosomal RNA is filed under the name uncultured prokaryote. RNAcentral's name for it is "partial 16S ribosomal RNA". It matches the Rfam family "Bacterial small subunit ribosomal RNA", at positions 524 to 777 of the family's 1533-position model. The record is from RNAcentral.
UACGUAGGGUGCGAGCGUUAUCCGGAAUUAUUGGGCGUAAAGAGCUCGUAGGCGGUUUGUCACGUCUGCUGUGAAAGCUCGGGGCUUAACUCCGAGUGUGCAGUGGGUACGGGCAGGCUGGAGUGCAGUAGGGGAGACUGGAAUUCCUGGUGUAGCGGUGAAAUGCGCAGAUAUCAGGAGGAACACCGAUGGCGAAGGCAGGUCUCUGGGCUGUUACUGACGCUGAGGAGCGAAAGCAUGGGGAGCGAACAGGA